RNAcentral lists this ribosomal RNA (468 nucleotides) under Streptococcus parasanguinis. RNAcentral describes it as "bacterial SSU rRNA". It matches the Rfam family "Bacterial small subunit ribosomal RNA", at positions 39 to 499 of the family's 1533-position model. Lineage: Bacteria; Bacillati; Bacillota; Bacilli; Lactobacillales; Streptococcaceae. The record is from RNAcentral.
CUGCGGCGUGCUAUACAUGCAAGUGAACGUGAAGCUUUGUGCUUGCACCGAGCGGAUGAGUUGCGAACGGUGAGUAACGCGUAGGUAACAUGCCUCUUAGAGGGGGAUAACUAUUGGAAACGAUAGCUAAUACCGCAUAAAAGUCGAUAUCGCAUGAUAUUGAUUGAAAGGUGCAAAUGCAUCACUAAGAGAUGGACCUGCGUUGUAUUAGCUAGUUGUGAGGUAACGGCUCACCAAGGCGACGAUACAUACCGACCUGAGAGGUGAUCGGCCACACUGGGACUGAGACACGGCCCAGACUCCUACGGGAGGCAGCAGUAGGGAAUCUUCGGCAAUGGGGGCAACCCUGACCGAGCAACCCGCGUGAGUGAAGAAGGUCUUCGGAUCGUAAAGCUCUGUUGUAAGAGAAGAACGAGUGUGAGAGUGAAAGUUCAUCACUGUGACCGUAACUUACCCGAAAGGACGCUA